UGCACGGCAGAGCCCGCGCCUCCCGUCCCGUCGCCGCUCGGUUCCCGUCGCGCUGCCCCGGACGGACCGGGGCCCUCCAGGAGCCUUCCCGGUGCCGGGCGCUGCCUACCCUCCCUGCGCCCCCCUAGCCCCCACUUCAGUCGGCUCCGAGACCUCCUUGUAGCAGCACAACCCGCCGGGCUCGACCGGGCCUGCCGUGUACCGGGACCCGGACACGCUCUCUCCUCCCUGCGCGGCCCCCGCGCCGUUCAGCGCCGCCGAUUCCCAGCCCAAGCGGGACCCGGCUCCUCCCGGCCCCGCGGCACCAUCUAGUGGCGCCGCCCGGCCCGAGCCAGCCCCGGGGCGCGGGUCAGCCCGGGCCGGCCCCGCCGGUUCUCGGAGCCCCGGGGCCACGCGUGUCCCGGAUGGGUAGCUGCUGCUGGGAGGCAACGCUGGGGCCACCGGCACUAAUGAGGCUGCUCGGCGGCGCCGGCCCCCGCCAGAGGGGCUCCCGACUGUGGCUGGUCCUGCAGAGCGGCGGGAGCCGCUGCAGCCUCCCCGCGGGACUCGGGCGGGAGCAGCCGGUGCCGAGGAGCGAGCGGAGGGGCAGGCGGCGGCAUGGCUCCGGCUCCGGGCUGGCGGCUGCGGGCCGGGGGCUUCCGCAGAAACUGGUCCCCCCACGCCGCUUCGGCGCUGGGCUGGGAGCGGUACCGGCCCCGGCGGGAGGCGGAGAAGCGCGGCGUGGACCUGGUCGCUGUCACCGCCGGAAAGCGGCCCCGCGGGACGAGGGAUGACGGGGGCAUGGUCCUCAGGCAGAGUCUGGGCCACAAAGGGUUACGCAAGGCACCCUGGAGUGACACCACUGCCACCAGCCCGGGAGCUCAGCUCCUUCCUGGUCGGAUCCCAGGCUCGCCUGAUGUUGGAUUGAGGAAGGGGCCAGCGACUGCGAAGAGGAGCCGGAGCCGGUCAGAGCCCCCCAGCCGUCCGGCUGCCACCGUGACUAUCCCCAGCUUGUGCUGGUGGGUGCCCACCAUGGAGGAGAUGGUGAUCUGGGAGCAGCACACGGUGACACUGAGCAAGGACCCUCACCGGGGCUUUGGAUUUGCUGUCUCUGGAGGCCGUGACCGUCCCAACAGGACAACCGGGGACACAGCGGUGUUUGUUUCAGAUGUGGUGUCUGGGGGACCAGCAAUGGGUCAGCUCCAGAAGAAGGAUCACAUUGUGAUGGUGAAUGGCAUUUCCAUGGAGAAUGUCCCAUCCUCUGUCGCCAUCCAGGCACUUAAAACCUGUGGCAAGAUCGCCAACAUUACACUGAAAAGACCGAAGAAGAUUCACCUCCCUGUGAGCAAGAGCAGCCCUGGGUCCCCUGCUGUGCCCCGGCACUACGACUCAGAUGAGGAGUACAGGCUGCACCGCUCCCGGGAUGACCUGGAUCACAGCCAGGGCUACGAUGGGGACUCAUCCAGCGACAGGAGCUCUGGUCACCAGCACGAUGACCGUCGCCACCACAAGCUGGUGUCACGGAGCCGGAGGCGGAGCCAGGACAGCAGCCGCUGGAUGCAGAGUAGCUCAGACCGGAGAGGCCAGGGCCGACAUUGUUCCUUUGGCCAGGACGGGGACACCAACGGGCUGGCCCUGGUGUCAGGCUUCAAGCGGCUGCCGUGCCAGGAUGUGCCAAUGAAGCCCAUCACAUCGGUCCUGGUGAAGCAGAAGCAGAAUGAGGAGUAUGGCCUGAAGCUGGGGAGUCAGCUUUUCAUCAAGCACAUAGUGGAGAGUGGGCUGGCGGCCAAGGGCAACUCCUUGCAGGAAGGAGACCUCAUCCUGAAGAUCAAUGGGGUAGCCAGCCAGGACAUGUCCUUGGCUGAAACCCAGCAGCUCAUUGAGCAGACAGAGGGGAUCCUGACCCUGCUCAUCCUCCGUGACCACCGGCAGUUCCUGGUCAACAUCCCUGACGUUGACAGCCAGAGCGACAGCUCCCGGAUGGACGAUAUCUCAGACAUCGACUCUGAGCUGUCCCAUCCGCCAUCUCCAGAGGCCUCCCCACGAUCUCCAGCUGCUGCCAGGACAAAAUCACCGGAGAGGAGACGAUCAGACAGGGAGCCUGUGACCAAGGUGACUGUAGCUGAUGCUCAGGGCCCAGACCUUCUGGAAGCCAUGGAGCAGGAUGGGCACAGCUCCCAUACCAGCCUCACUGCCCGAGCUGCCCACAAGGAUGGGUACAGCACCAACGCCAGGGUCGUGCAGUUUGUGAAGGCCAAGAGUGUGGGGCUGCGGCUGACAGGUGGGAACGAUGUGGGCAUCUUCGUGUCGAGUGUGCAGGAGGGGAGCCUAGCUGACAGCCAGGGUGUUCGGGAAGGUGACCAGAUCCUGCAGGUGAAUGACACCAGUUUCCAGAACGUGACCCGUGAGGAGGCUGUGGAAUAUCUCAUGGCCCUGCCCCCAGGCGAGGAGGUCACACUGUGGAUCCAGAGCAAGCAGGACAUUUACAGGAAGAUGGUGUCGUCCAAUGUGGGUGACUCGUUCUACAUCCGGACACACUUUGACUUUGAGAAGGAUACGCCGUCAGGGCUCAGCUUUGCCCGUGGGGAUGUGUUCCACGUGCUGGACACCAUGUACCGGGGCAGGCUGGGGAGCUGGCUGGCUGUGCGCAUGGGCAGGGACCUGCAGGAGCAGGAAAAGGGCAUCAUCCCCAACCAGAGCAGGGCCGAGCAGAUUGCCAGCCUGGAGUCGGUGCUAAAAGCCACAUCUGGUGCCAACCCCUCCGGGGCAAGGGCUGAAUUUUGGAAGCUGCGGGGCUUGCGGGGAGCCAAGAAGAUGCUGCGGAAGAGCCGGGAGGACCUGUCUGCCCUCACAAAACAGGGGCGCUACCCACCCUAUGAAAGGGUGGUUCUCAAGGAAGCCAGCUUCAAGCGGCCAGUGGUGAUCCUGGGCCCCAUCGCAGACAUCGCUGUGCAGAAGCUGAGCAGGGAGCUGCCCGAGCUGUUUGAAAUUGCCCCAAGUGUGCCCCGAGAUGGGGCAUCAUCCAAGGUCAUCAAGCUGGACUCGGUGCGGCAGAUUGCAGAAAAGAACAAGCACGCUUUGCUGGACAUCACGCCCUCAGCUGUAGAGCGCCUCAACUACGUGCAGUACUACCCCGUGGUGGUGUUCUGCGAGCCCGAGAGCCGCCAGGGCAUCAAGGCCAUGCGGCAGUGGCUGGCGCCCGACUCCAGGAAGAGCUCCCGGCGCCUCUAUGCCCAGGCCAACAAGAUGAAGAAGUAUUGCAGCCACCUCUUCACAGCCACCAUCAGCCUCAGUGGCAGUGGCAAUGCAUGGUACGAGCAGAUCCAGGACAUCGUAAGGACACAGCAAAGCCAGCCAGUGUGGACAACAGCAGAGCAGGCAGAUGUAGCCGCCGAGGACAGUCUGGACCUGCUGAACCCACCGAGCACAGUGGCCUCAGGCUACCUGACAUGUGACAGCCGCGCCAACAGCGACUACGACGACACAGAUGGGGAGGUGGGCGCCUACACUGACGGCGAGGCAGAGGAUGCCUAUGACCAGCCUGGGCUGGCCCGUUCCUCUGAGCCAGCACAGCUGGCCCCAAGCCAGGGCCUGGACUCCUCAGAGCCAACAGAGCUGGCCCCCAGUGAACAGGUGUCUGAACGGCCACCACAGGGCAGGCGCUAUGACAGCAUCAGGGAAUACGAGCACGAGGCGGUGAGGAAGAGGUUCACACGGGCCAGGGAUGACUCGGACCAGGAUGAAGGCUACGAGUGGGGCCCAGCCACAGAUGUGUAGUGGCACAGCUGGCCUGUCCCUCCAGGCCAGCUCUCCCACAGCCCUGCACAACUGGAUGCAGCUGACAGCUCAGGCUGGGGCUGCAGAGAUUGAGCAACAGGAGAGACCCACAACUCCAGUCCUAGGGGAAGCACCAGCUGGUGUGCAAGGUGGCCAUGCCACUCACCCACCAGCUCCCACUGAGCCCAGGAAUUCCCCUCUCUGCCUUCCCAACACAGCCACAGGUGAGCCCAGGGCAGGGAGUAGCUCGGGCACAGGGGACAGGAACAACUGUCACUGAGGUCAUGCCCAAAAAGCCAGGAAGAAGCCACCACCCUGAAAGCAAACAGCUACAGAGCACCAGGAAGAGGGAUACAACCACCAGUGCUGCAGAAAGGCUGUGAGGAGCUUUUUAGCUGCACACAGCAGAGCCCUGUGGCCCCUCGGCUGGGCAGGCACAUGCAGUGUGGGAGCUGGGUGCUGGUCCCUGGACACAGCUGGCUCUGCCUGUCCCUCAGCAGACCCUGGCCCAGCUCCCAUCCCAUGGGC
RNA transcript from Pyrgilauda ruficollis (rufous-necked snowfinch), 4284 nucleotides. It is a transcript of the gene named tight junction protein 3, with no coding region annotated. Lineage: Eukaryota; Metazoa; Chordata; Aves; Passeriformes; Passeridae. The record is from RefSeq and is a predicted model, not a curated record. The transcript is spliced from 22 exons.